AGAAGUAAGAUCUGCACCCUGACUCUUUGUUAAAGAGCCGCGGUAUUAUGACCGUGCAAAGGUAGCAUAAUCAAUAGCCUUUUAAUUGGAGGCUGGAAUGAAAGAUUUAAUGAAAUAAAUUCUGUCUCAAAAUAAUUUGUGGAAUUUGAUUUUUCUGUAAAAAAGCAGAGAUUUAUUAAAAAGACGAGAAGACCCUAUAGAUCUUUACAUAAAGGUUUAUAAUAAUUUUUAAGGUAGAAAAUUAAUUGUAACAGAUAUGUUGAAUUGGGGUGAUUAGAAAAUCAAGAAGAACUUUUCUUAAUUAGACAAUGAUGAUUGGUUAUAUGAUCCGGUAAACCGAAAUUAGAUUAAGAUACCUUAGGGAUAACAGCGUAAUCUUCUUUGAGAGUUCAUAUUGACAAGAAGGGUUGCGACCUCGAUGUUGGAUUAAGGGAAAGAUUAGGUGCAGCAGCCUAACUCUUAAGUCUGUUCGACUU
This 476-nucleotide ribosomal RNA is filed under the name Labidura riparia. RNAcentral describes it as "partial 16S ribosomal RNA". It matches the Rfam family "Bacterial large subunit ribosomal RNA", at positions 1894 to 2587 of the family's 2925-position model. Lineage: Eukaryota; Metazoa; Arthropoda; Insecta; Dermaptera; Labiduridae. The record is from RNAcentral.